Molecule: ribosomal RNA, 657 nt
Filed under: uncultured bacterium
Lineage: Bacteria
Description: bacterial SSU rRNA
Rfam family: Bacterial small subunit ribosomal RNA
Source: RNAcentral
CGCGGCCUAUCAGCUUGUUGGUGGGGUAAUGGCCUACCAAGGCGACGACGGGUAGCCGGCCUGAGAGGGCGACCGGCCACACUGGGACUGAGACACGGCCCAGACUCCUACGGGAGGCAGCAGUGGGGAAUAUUGCGCAAUGGGCGAAAGCCUGACGCAGCAACGCCGCGUGAGGGAUGAAGGCCUUCGGGUUGUAAACCUCUUUCAGCAGGGAAGAAGCGCCUGGGUUUUCUCAAGCGUGACGGUACCUGCAGAAGAAGCACCGGCUAACUACGUGCCAGCAGCCGCGGUAAUACGUAGGGUGCAAGCGUUGUCCGGAAUUAUUGGGCGUAAAGAGCUUGUAGGCGGUUUGUCGCGUCGGCUGUGAAAACUCGGGGCUCAACCCCGAGCCUGCAGUCGAUACGGGCAGACUAGAGUGCUGUAGGGGAGACUGGAAUUCCUGGUGUAGCGGUGAAAUGCGCAGAUAUCAGGAGGAACACCGGUGGCGAAGGCGGGUCUCUGGGCAGUAACUGACGCUGAGGAGCGAAAGCGUGGGGAGCGAACAGGAUUAGAUACCCUGGUAGUCCACGCCGUAAACGGUGGGUGCUAGGUGUGAGCGGUAUUCCACGCCGUUCGUGCCGCAGCUAACGCAUUAAGCACCCCGCCUGGGGAGUACGG